GACGAACGCUGGCGGCGUGCUUAACACAUGCAAGUCGAACGGAAAGGCCCUGCUUUUGUGGGGUGCUCGAGUGGCGAACGGGUGAGUAACACGUGAGUAACCUGCCCUUGACUUUGGGAUAACUUCAGGAAACUGGGGCUAAUACCGGAUAGGAGCUCCUGCUGCAUGGUGGGGGUUGGAAAGUUUCGGCGGUUGGGGAUGGACUCGCGGCUUAUCAGCUUGUUGGUGGGGUAGUGGCUUACCAAGGCUUUGACGGGUAGCCGGCCUGAGAGGGUGACCGGCCACAUUGGGACUGAGAUACGGCCCAGACUCCUCUGGGAGGCAGAAGUGGGGAAUAUUGCACAAUGGGCGGAAGCCUGAUGCAGCAACGCCGCGUGCGGGAUGACGGCUUUCGGGUUGUAACCCGCUUUCGCCUGUGACGAAGCGUGAGUGACGGUAAUGUGUAAAGAAGCACCGGCUAACUACGUG
This 468-nucleotide ribosomal RNA is filed under the name uncultured bacterium. Its description in RNAcentral is "partial 16S ribosomal RNA". It matches the Rfam family "Bacterial small subunit ribosomal RNA", at positions 28 to 507 of the family's 1533-position model. The record is from RNAcentral.